This 752-nucleotide long non-coding RNA is filed under the name Salmo salar (Atlantic salmon). Its description in RNAcentral is "lncRNA (ENSSSAG00000118545.1)". Lineage: Eukaryota; Metazoa; Chordata; Actinopteri; Salmoniformes; Salmonidae. The record is from RNAcentral.
CGACAUCCGAUCCUCGUUUGCUAAGUCAAACGACACUGCUGGUCCUGCUCACACUGCCCUACCCUGUGCUUUGACCUCUUUCUCCCCUCUCUCUCCAGAUGAAAUCUCGCGUCUUGUGACGGCCGGCCGCCCAACAACCUGCCCACUUGACCCUAUCCCCUCCUCUCUUCUCCAGACCAUUUCCGGAGACCUUCUCCCCUACCUCACCUCGCUCAUCAACGCAUCCUUGACCGCUGGCUACGUCCCUUCCGUCUUCAAGAGAGCGAGAGUUGCACCCCUUCUGAAAAAACCUACACUCGACCCCUCCGAUGUCAACAACUACAGACCUAUCUGCUGCCUUUGAUACCGUGAACCAUCAGAUCCUCCUCUCCACCCUCUCCGAGCUGGGCAUCUCUGGCACCGCGCACGCUUGGAUUGCGUCCUACCUGACAGGUCGCUCCUACCAGGUGGCGAAUCGCAUCUCUGCAUGUCUGGCAGACAUAUCAGUGUGGAUGACGGAUCACCACCUCAAGCUGAACCUCGGCAAGACGGAGCUGCUCUUCCUCCCGGGGAAGGACUGCCCGUUCCAUGAUCUCGCCAUCACGGUUGACAACUCCCUUGUGUCCUCCUCCCAGAGUGCUAAGAGCCUUGGCGUGACCCUGGACAACACCCUGUCGUUCUCCACCAACAUCAAGGCGGUGACCCGAUCCUGUAGGUUCAUGCUCUACAACAUUCGCAGAGUACGACCCUGCCUCACACAGGAAGCGGCGCAG